UACGACACACGCUACAAUGGCCAACACAAUAGGUUGCUAAGCCGCGAGGGUGGCGCCAAUCCAUAAAGUUGGUCUCAGUUCAGAUUGUAGGCUGCAACCCGCCUGCAUGAAGAUGGAGUUGCUAGUAACCGCAGGUCAGCUAUACUGCGGUGAAUACCGGUUCCCGGGGCUU
RNAcentral lists this ribosomal RNA (172 nucleotides) under uncultured Leptolinea sp. Its description in RNAcentral is "partial 16S ribosomal RNA". It matches the Rfam family "Bacterial small subunit ribosomal RNA", at positions 1214 to 1382 of the family's 1533-position model. Lineage: Bacteria; Bacillati; Chloroflexota; Anaerolineae; Anaerolineales; Anaerolineaceae. The record is from RNAcentral.